CAGGGGAGGGGGGGUUCUCUCAGCACGGAUUGUGAGAGGGUGCAGGCCAGGCCUAGGGACUCCACCAGUGCACA
RNAcentral lists this microRNA precursor (74 nucleotides) under Myotis lucifugus (little brown bat). RNAcentral describes it as "mir-9193 microRNA precursor family". It matches the Rfam family "mir-9193 microRNA precursor family". Lineage: Eukaryota; Metazoa; Chordata; Mammalia; Chiroptera; Vespertilionidae. The record is from Rfam by way of RNAcentral.